GCAGAGACGAACAUUUUAAAUUCAUCCUCAGAAGACAAAGGUGCAACCCAACCCUCCACUGUACAGCUCUCAGGACCAGAGCCUGUCUUCUCCAGACUACAAGAUGAGAACUGCAGUAUGUGCCAUCCUUCUCCUGAUGCUUCUGUGUCAAGGAGAAGCUCUGACAUGCAACAAAUGCUUUAGAUUUGGGAAAGGAAUGUGCAGUCCUACCUCCACACAAACCUGUAGGAGUAGAAGUGAUGUAUGUGCUGCCGUCUCAUAUGGAAACUACUCAGUGCGUGGUUGCAUGGGCAAGAGACGUUGCUGGACCCAACCGCGAUCCCCUCACCUACGAUGCUGCACGUACAACUUCUGCAACUACUGAUGAACGUUUGACUUGUUUCAAUAAAAGUAAAUGCAAUAAAAUACAUGGAUUUGUUCACUGUGGCGUGUGUGCACACGUGCUGCUGGGGAAGAUUGCAUUUCAUCCUGAUGUUACUGUUCAUUGAGGCCUUUCAUCACAGGUUUA
Molecule: long non-coding RNA, 508 nt
Organism: Cololabis saira (Pacific saury)
Lineage: Eukaryota; Metazoa; Chordata; Actinopteri; Beloniformes; Belonidae
Exons: 4
Source: RefSeq, a predicted model, not a curated record